UGGCUCGGUGAGGCCUUCGGACUGGCCCAGGGAGGUCGGCAACGACCACCCAGGGCCGGAAAGUUGGUCAAACCCGGUCAUUUAGAGGAAGUAAAAGUCGUAACAAGGUCUCCGUAGGUGAACCUGCGGAGGGAUCAUUA
This 140-nucleotide ribosomal RNA is filed under the name Cladosporium ramotenellum. RNAcentral's name for it is "partial 18S ribosomal RNA". It matches the Rfam family "Eukaryotic small subunit ribosomal RNA", at positions 1694 to 1831 of the family's 1831-position model. Lineage: Eukaryota; Fungi; Ascomycota; Dothideomycetes; Cladosporiales; Cladosporiaceae. The record is from RNAcentral. RNAcentral also lists the same sequence under 2 other names.